GUUACCGUAUUUAAAUUGGAGGGCAGUUGGAUCAAGAGCAUUAAGUUUAUUAUAAGAGACAGCAAGAUUACUUCAGAAUUCUAAAGCUUUUGGACUCUUCCUGCCCCCCUUUCUGCAAUUAUCCCUGAGCUUUGGGCAUGGGAGCUAUAUUAUAGAUGUAUCAAUUGAAGUGGCUCGACAACUCUGCAUUUUGAUCUUAUGGAUUUCUCAGCAAUCGUCUCUGUUUCAAAGAAGAUUCAUUGAUGAGAGGUCUGCUUCAUUUGAGCUAAAAGCCAACAGUACUUUUAACUCUCCUUUGGGUUCUCCAUGCAUCUGCUCUUCCUCAAGGACAUCACUACAGUUUGGAACUGUCCAUGACUCCUCGCUUUUGUUUAACAAUACACAUGGAAGCUUAUUAAAAGGAAGAUUUAAGGAUCUAAGAUUUCUUCAUAGGGCUAAGAAUCUGUUGGAAAGAUUGGCAUUGUC
Molecule: long non-coding RNA, 465 nt
Organism: Mus pahari (shrew mouse)
Lineage: Eukaryota; Metazoa; Chordata; Mammalia; Rodentia; Muridae
Exons: 3
Source: RefSeq, a predicted model, not a curated record